CCCUUGCCUAGGGAUCUGCCCAGUCGAGGGGGAUACCAGUUGGAAACGACUGCUAAUACCGCAUACGCCCUGAGGGGGAAAGGUGGGGAUCUUCGGACCUACCGCGAUUGGAUGAACCUAG
Molecule: ribosomal RNA, 121 nt
Filed under: uncultured Shewanella sp.
Lineage: Bacteria; Pseudomonadati; Pseudomonadota; Gammaproteobacteria; Alteromonadales; Shewanellaceae
Description: partial 16S ribosomal RNA
Source: RNAcentral